AACGAACGCUGGCGGCAGGCCUAACACAUGCAAGUCGAACGCCCUAGCAAUAGGGAGUGGCAGACGGGUGAGUAACACGUGGGAACGUGCCUUUCGGUUCGGAAUAACCCAGGGAAACUUGGACUAAUACCGGAUACGUGCGAGAGCAGAAAGAUUUAUCGCCGAAAGAUCGGCCCGCGUCCGAUUAGUUAGUUGGUGAGGUAAUGGCUCACCAAGGCGACGAUCGGUAGCUGGUCUGAGAGGAUGAUCAGCCACACUGGGACUGAGACACGGCCCAGACUCCUACGGGAGGCAGCAGUGGGGAAUAUUGGACAAUGGGCGCAAGCCUGAUCCAGCCAUGCCGCGUGAGUGAUGAAGGCCCUAGGGUUGUAAAGCUCUUUCGCCAGGGACGAUAAUGACGGUACCUGGAUAAGAAGCCCCGGCUAACUUCGUGCCAGCCGCCGCCGUAAU
Molecule: ribosomal RNA, 450 nt
Filed under: uncultured bacterium
Lineage: Bacteria
Description: bacterial SSU rRNA
Rfam family: Bacterial small subunit ribosomal RNA
Source: RNAcentral